AUCAAAAGAAAAGAUGAUUCAUAUAGUUGACCGCAACUAACUUGAGAUUGAGUUGUAAUUGUUGAUUGAAUUAUUAAUAUAACAUUUAGCUCGUCUUUUUAGUUAUAACACUAAAAUUGGUAAGAAGCAACAACUCUCCUGAUUCUGCAUUGCACUUACGGUUUUUUUUUUUUUUUUUUUUGGAUGAUUUACACUAAUGUACGGUUAUUGUUUUGCUCUUCCUAAAUCAGGAAUCUGUCAAGACAAAGCACCCUCAACUUCAUUACGAGUCAAAAAUAUAUAUGCUUCUCCAAGGAGGAAGUAAGUCUUUCUUUGUGUCCUUUACGUAUUCUCAGCUUUUUAUUGAUGAUUCAACUUUGUUGAUUACUCUAAAAUGCCUAUCAAAAGAAAAGGAGGGGGGUUUAGGUGGAAUGCCAGUGAAGCAGCGUGAUAUGCUACUUGUCAGAAGUUCAAACUCACUGACCCCUUCUUCGCUAAUUAUGAGCUUGAAUGGACCUUUUUAAUGACUUAUUAGGGUCUUUUCUGUCCUCUUUUACAUGAUGUCUGUUCUGUUUAUAAAAUAUUUGGUAGACUCAAAGUAGCAACCAAUUAGUUCUAUGUGUUUUGUCUAAUCAAAGAACUUUUGGUUGGGAAUGUUAUAAAUCGAAAAUUGACUCCUUACCUUUGCCAUUAAUUAUGAAGCCGGGAUUCCCAACCUCAAAUGGUUCGGAGUUGAGGGCGAGUACAAUGUAAUGGUCAUUGACCUUCUUGGACCAAGUUUGGAAGACCGCUUCAACUAUUGCAAUAGGAAGUUCACUUUGAAAACAGUUUGAAUGCUUGCGGAUCAACUAAUUAAUAGAGUUGAGUAUAUGCACUCAAGAGGAUUUCUUCACCUAGACAUAAAGCCAGACAACUUUUUAAUGGGCCUAGGUCGCAAAGCAAAUCAGGUUUAGGCCAUCGACUUUGGGCUUGCCAGAAAGUAUAGGGACCUACAGACUCACAAGCAUAUACCAUACAGGUAGUCACGCUUGUUACUUGACUGGUCCUUGCAAUUGUCCUUUUUAUCUUUUCAGCGCUUUAGAAGGAACGGGAUGGUCUUGUUUGAUUCUCUUUCACUGCUCUUAGCAAGUCUCUAUUGUCAAGAUAAGCAUUAAUUAGAUUCAAUAGUCCGAUGACCUAGUGUUUUUUCUUCCACUGGAAUCCCCUCUUUAAUGUUUUUGAUGUCAUAAACAUCAUACUAGCAAUUGAAUACUCAAAUCCUUUGGUAGUAUAUUACAUAAGCAUUAAUUAGAUUCAAUAGCCCUAUGACCAACUAUAGGAUGUCACUGAGCCUUUUGAAAGCCAGGUAGAAUUUUGUUCGACGGUAAAUUUGUUAAUUAUGAGUUUACUUUUUUGAAAAUGCAAAUGUUCUUAUCAUAUAUUCUUCUUUUAUAUCGA
This is a long non-coding RNA of Lycium ferocissimum, 1416 nucleotides long. RefSeq lists it as uncharacterized. The transcript has 3 exons. The record is from RefSeq and is a predicted model, not a curated record. NCBI's taxonomy places the organism in Eukaryota, Viridiplantae, Streptophyta, Magnoliopsida, Solanales, Solanaceae.